Molecule: ribosomal RNA, 467 nt
Filed under: uncultured bacterium
Lineage: Bacteria
Description: bacterial SSU rRNA
Rfam family: Bacterial small subunit ribosomal RNA
Source: RNAcentral
CCAGACUCCUACGGGAGGCAGCAGUGAGGAAUAUUGGUCAAUGGCCGAGAGGCUGAACCAGCCAAGUCGCGUGAGGGAAGAAUGUCCUAUGGAUUGUAAACCUCUUUUGUCAGGGAGCAAUUGGCGCUACGUGUAGCGUUAUCGAGAGUACCUGAAGAAAAAGCAUCGGCUAACUCCGUGCCAGCAGCCGCGGUAAUACGGAGGAUGCGAGCGUUAUCCGGAUUUAUUGGGUUUAAAGGGUGCGUAGGCGGAAUGCCAAGUCAGCGGUAAAAUCGCGGGGCUCAACCUCGCUCCGCCGUUGAAACUGGCGUUCUUGAGUGGGCGAGAAGAAGGCGGAAUGCGUGGUGUAGCGGUGAAAUGCAUAGAUAUCACGCAGAACCCCGAUUGCGAAGGCAGCCUUCCGGCGCCCUACUGACGCUGAGGCACGAAAGUGCGGGGAUCGAACAGGAUUAGAUACCCCUGUAGCG